CCUACGGGAGGCAGCAGUGAGGAAUAUUGGUCAAUGGCCGAGAGGCUGAACCAGCCAAGUCGCGUGAGGGAAGACGGCCCUACGGGUUGUAAACCUCUUUUGUCGGGGAGCAAAGCGAACCACGUGUGGUUCAUUGAGAGUACCCGAAGAAAAAGCAUCGGCUAACUCCGUGCCAGCAGCCGCGGUAAUACGGAGGGUGCAAGCGUUACUCGGAAUCACUGGGCGUAAAGAGCGCGUAGGCGGGAUAGCAAGUCAGAUGUGAAAUCCUAUGGCUUAACCAUAGAACUGCAUUUGAAACUGUUUCCCUUGAGUGUCGGAGAGGUAAUCGGAAUUCCUUGUGUAGCGGUGAAAUGCGUAGAUAUAAGGAAGAACACCAGUGGCGAAGGCGGAUUACUGGACGAUAACUGACGGUGAGGCGCGAAAGCGUGGGGAGCAAACAGGAUUAGAUACCCUAGUAGUC
RNAcentral lists this ribosomal RNA (460 nucleotides) under uncultured bacterium. RNAcentral describes it as "partial 16S ribosomal RNA". It matches the Rfam family "Bacterial small subunit ribosomal RNA", at positions 338 to 795 of the family's 1533-position model. The record is from RNAcentral.